CCUCCACCCGACUUCGGUGUGUUGGCGAGCACAGAAUAACGUGUCUUUUGAUUGCUGCCAACGAGGUUAAAACGGACGCGUGGCACGCAGACAGCCGCAUAUCUGACGGUCUGGGGGCGGUUGGAAGAAACGGUAUCAAGUUGUGCCGGAGACCAGGAACAGACUUUGUCCACAAAGUCGUCGAAGGCAGGUAAAUUCCAGCUGUUUGAGGAAGUCGCACAGGACAAGAGUGAGAGAUGGAGAGAUUGAAGGGACGGGACAUGGCGGCGCAGCGCGUUCUCAAGCAGCGGAUGGACGCCCUCGAGCGGCAGAAGAUGUCCAGCACCUCGGCGCAUGACCAGGACAUUCGCGACCUCAAGCGGGACCUGGAGACCAUGCAGCGACGCCGCUCCUCCAGCCUGCAAGUCAGUCAGAAGCCUCUUGUGUCUGGGGAAAGACGCAUUUCCCUAACCUCUUCACCUCACACUAACGAUGUCGGUGCAGCACCGAAGAACAAAGAAGGGGAGUAAAAUACCAAAGGUCACAUUCCAUAAGCACCAGACACGACGAAGAGAGCGACCUGCUGCAGCAGAUGGCCAAGGCACUUCACACGGCCAGCACAGAGAACGAACUUCCACGACCUGGUCUGGGGGACUCGAGCAAACUGCGCGUCCUCCUCAACACAGCGCAGUCGGAGCUGGAGGUGAGGUCAGCGGAAGGAUCAACGUCUGCAGCGGGUAAAGGUUACGAGAUAGAAGGUCACCCUAUGGGCACAGUGAGUGAAGGUUCCAGGCCUGACGAGAGACAUCGGAGAGACUCGACUGUCUCUGCCGAGAGGGAAGGCGAAGGCGACGAGGUCUGGAGCGAAGUCCGCAAGUGCCGCUACAUUCGAGGCUACGACCCACCCGAGAUGCGCAUGCCUAAAGACAUUAUCGGGUUUGUGUUCGCAGAGAACCAGGCGCUGGUCGGCGAAGAAGACCCAGAAACGACCGCGGCAACAAAGUAGACUCGUGUGCUCCCUCCAAACCACCGUUUACAUUUGCCUUCUCAAACCCUCUUCAGCCUUCAUUUGGAAAGGAUUCGUUGUUGCCCCCAGCUUUCCGAUGAGCCCAUGUGUGAGAACUGCUCACCCCAGCAUUCAGUAUUAGACAACAACAGGACAGGCUGUGUUUUACAAAUAUUCCAUUCAUCGUUUUUAGGACGGUCACUCACAGUCAUUAAAUAGAGCAUAUCGUCACCAGAGACACUGAAAGAAGGACUGCCAUCUUGUGAACAGAUAACUUACUACGCGCAUGCUCUGGAUCCUAUGCACUCGCCGUUUCCGCUCGUUCGUACACAGUUGUGUUUUGUCUUGUUUUUCACUUUGCUAGGGAAAAAAAUCCGAGUUGUUUUGCACACAAAGAUCGACACAGAUAAAAUUAUCUGCACAAUAUCGAAGUGCCUAUGAUUGUUCCUUGCAGAGCAAACAGAUUACAUGUAAACGCAAACACAGGUUUAUUGGUCUAAAUGUCUUCCUCUUCAAACAAUGUCCUUCCCAUACCUCUUUACAAUCAAAGUUACAAAGUGUACAAAAGCAGAAGCUCAGAACAUCAUCGCAAAAUGGCGGGGGAGAGGAUUAACAAACUGAGUUUUUCCCGUUUGUUUUUCUUUCCCAACUGUGACGGUGGUGGUGGAGGUGGGGGAGCGAGUUCCAACACCAAACAGUUUUCGGCGCCAGGGUUGCAAUACGUUGCUGGUCACAAUGGCUAAAAAUACUUGCUCAAUUUGUGAAAAACAAUUUACAGGAGACAUGAAUUAAAGGACUGAACCAACAA
Long non-coding RNA from Pomacea canaliculata, 1793 nucleotides. RefSeq lists it as uncharacterized. The record is from RefSeq and is a predicted model, not a curated record. The transcript has 3 exons. Lineage: Eukaryota; Metazoa; Mollusca; Gastropoda; Architaenioglossa; Ampullariidae.